This 75-nucleotide transfer RNA is filed under the name Alphaproteobacteria bacterium. Its description in RNAcentral is "tRNA-Glu". It matches the Rfam family "tRNA". From Rfam's summary of the family: Transfer RNA (tRNA) molecules are approximately 80 nucleotides in length. Their secondary structure includes four short double-helical elements and three loops (D, anti-codon, and T loops). Lineage: Bacteria; Pseudomonadati; Pseudomonadota; Alphaproteobacteria. RNAcentral also lists the same sequence under 1 other name. The record is from RNAcentral.
GCCCCCUUCGUCUAGCGGUUAGGACGCCACCCUUUCACGGUGGAAACAGGGGUUCGAUUCCCCUAGGGGGUACCA